GAGUUUGUAUCCUGGCUCAGGAUAAACGCUGGCGGCGUGCAUGAGACAUGCAAGUCGAACGGACUUUCAAGCUUGCUUGAAAGUUAGUGGCGGACGGGCUGAGUAACGCGUAGGUGACCUGCCCCGAAGUGGGGAAUAAACUGCCCGAAAGGGUGGCUAAUACCGCAUGCGAUCGGUCAUUCAUUUGAUCGAUCAAAGCAGUAAUGCGCUUUGGGAGGGGCCUGCGUCCGAUUAGCUCGUUGGUGGGGUAAUGGCUCACCAAGGCGACGAUCGGUAGGUGGUCUGAGAGGACGAUCACCCAGACUGGGACUGAGACACGGCCCAGACUCCUACGGGAGGCAGCAGUCGGGAAUUUUGCUCAAUGGACGAAAGUCUGAAGCAGCAA
This 385-nucleotide ribosomal RNA is filed under the name uncultured bacterium. RNAcentral's name for it is "bacterial SSU rRNA". It matches the Rfam family "Bacterial small subunit ribosomal RNA", at positions 9 to 394 of the family's 1533-position model. The record is from RNAcentral.